CCCUANUAACGGCGAGUGAAGCGGCAAAAGCUCAGAUUUGAAAUCUAAUUUAUUUAAUAAAUUCGAAUUGUAAUCUGUAGAAGGUUGAAUGGCUGAAUAUUCUGAUUUAAAUUAUUUGGAAUAAUAUAUCAUAGAGGGUGAGAAUCCCGUGAUUAUCAGAAAAUAAGUCAAUUAAUUCACCUUUCGACGAGUCGAGUUGUUUGGGAAUGCAGCUCUAAAUGGGUGGUAAAUUUCAUCUAAAGCUAAAUACCUGCCAGAGACCGAUAGCGAACAAGUAGAGUGAUCGAAAGAUGAAAAGCACUUUGAAAAGAGAGUUAAAAAGUACGUGAAAUUGUUGAAAGGGAAGCGCUUGCGAUUAGACUUGAUAUUUAAAUUCGAUUAACCUACGGGUUCAAUUCACUUUUUAUUUAUCAGGCCAGCAUCAAUUUAAUGAAAUUAAUAAAAUUAAAUGGAAUGUAGUAAUUACUUCGGUAGUUAUGUUAUAGCCAUUUAAAUAAUUAAUUUAUAUUAGAUUGAGGUCUGCUCUUCGGAAAGGAUGCUGGCAUAAU
Molecule: ribosomal RNA, 548 nt
Filed under: Calenia phyllogena
Lineage: Eukaryota; Fungi; Ascomycota; Lecanoromycetes; Ostropales; Graphidaceae
Description: LSU rRNA
Rfam family: Eukaryotic large subunit ribosomal RNA
Source: RNAcentral